GAUGAACGCUGGCGGCGUGCCUAAUACAUGCAAGUCGAGCGAACAGAUGAGGCUCUUGCUCCUCUGACGUUAGCGGCGGGCGGGUGAGUAACACGAGGAUACCCUACCUAUCAGACUGAGAUAAUUUCGGGAAAGCGGAUAUAACAUCGGAUAAUAUAUUGAACCGCAGGGUUCAUUAGUAAAAUACGGUUUUGCUGUCACUUCUAGAUGGAUCCCAGCCGGAUUGGCGAGUUGGUAGGUAAACGGCUUACCAAGGCAACGAUGCGUAGCAGACCUGAGAGGGUGAUCGGGCACACUGGAACGGGUACACGGUCAAGAUGCCUACGGGAGGCAGCAGUCGGGAAUGGUACGCAGUGGGCGAAAGCCUGGCGGAGUGAGGCGGCGUGUGUGAUGAAGGUCUUCGGAUCGUAAAGAUCUGUUAUUAGGGAUGAACAACUGUGUAAUGAAAUAUGGACGGCGUGACGGUACCUAGUAAGAAAGCAACGGCUAACUACGUG
Molecule: ribosomal RNA, 497 nt
Filed under: uncultured bacterium
Lineage: Bacteria
Description: partial 16S ribosomal RNA
Rfam family: Bacterial small subunit ribosomal RNA
Source: RNAcentral